RNAcentral lists this long non-coding RNA (1321 nucleotides) under Salmo salar (Atlantic salmon). RNAcentral describes it as "lncRNA (ENSSSAG00000088195.1)". Lineage: Eukaryota; Metazoa; Chordata; Actinopteri; Salmoniformes; Salmonidae. The record is from RNAcentral.
UAAUCAGCCUUUUUUUUUUUUUUGUAAUAAUGACAAUUACAACAAUACUGAAUGAACACUUAUUUUAACUUAAUAUAAUACAUAAAUAAAAUCAAUUUAGCCUCAAAUAAAUAAUGAAACAUGUUCAAUUUGGUUUAAAUAAUGCAAAAACAAAGUGUUGGAGAAGAAAGUAAAAGUGCAAUAUGUGCCAUGUAAGAAAGCUAAUGUUUAAGUGCCUUGCUCAGAACAUGGGAACAUAUGAAAGCUGGUGGUUCCUUUUCACAUGAGUCUUCAAUAUUCCCAGGUGGAACUGGGUGUUAAACUCCAGGCGAACAUUAUCACUCGACUGAGCAAAGAACCAUCAAAGUGCAUUUCUGAGCUCAUGACAGCUCUAUUUCCCAGAGACGUGAUGGCCGUCUCUUGACAGAAAAAAAACUGAAUGCAUUCCGGGACCCGGAGGCAAAGAAACAGCUGUGCCCAACCAAAGUGUGCCAUUUGCACCUUUUUAAUUUGGCGAAACCUGAUGGAGGAGAAGGAUGUCUUAAAAAUUAUUUGAUCGAAGCUUAACAAUGAGCCAGAAUUGCUUAAGAAGUCCAAGAUUUAGGUUUAAAACUGCUUUUUUUUUACUCAAAGGGAGUAACUUGGAGGCUAAGGCCUAACUAUUUGGUUUGUUAACUCAGUGAAAAAGUAUUCAAGUUGAUCAUUUUUCAAAUAUGAUGUCCUCGUAUCUGUCAACUUCUUAACGUACACAGAACAUUUUUUUUUUCAAAAGUGUACUGUAGUUAUUGCUAUAGUAUAAGAAGAUGUUAUAGUAUUCCUUUAAGGUUACCAUAGUUAUUCUAUAUUAUGUCCGAAUUUACCAAAAGAAUACUAUAGAAGUUUUUCUGUGAUAUUUACAUAAUAUUGUUCUAUACUAAUCUUAUAGGAUCACAGUAAUAUUGCUAUAGUUAUUGCUAUAUUUUACUAUAAGAUUACUAUGGUUAUUCUAUAGUAUGUCUGAAUUUACCACAAGAAUACUGUAUGUUUUUUAGUGACAUUUGUAUAAUACUCUUUUAUAGUAAUCCUAUAGUGCUUUUUUGUAAGGGAUAGUCCAUGCCCGAUGAAUUGAGGUUGUUUAGAGGGCAAAGGGGGUCAAACUCAUGAGGUAUUCCUAAUGUUUUGUAAACUGAAUGUGUAUUUUCGUCUCCAAUGUUCAUAGGCAAAUUAUUACAUUUGUACAAUGAGCACUUCUCUCAAAUAUGUCAUUAGUUGUUAGUUAGCAAGCCAGCUAGCUAAUUUUUGCCAUAUUAGCAUUGACAUGAAAUCAGUCAGAACACCUCAAAACAAAUAUCAAGAACAAGAC